CAUGCCUGGGCUGCUCUCUCACAGCCCCUAGCUGCAGGUUAUAAAAGCUUCCAGCCAUAUUGUGCCUUGAGGCACACAGCACAGGGAGUUGUGUCCACAGUACAGGCAGCUGCCUGCAGCAGCCCACCAGGCCCCAUGUGCCUCCCUGGACAGAACCCAGGCAGCCUCUGCCCAUCCUGUCCCCUAGUUGGAGCUGCUCCUUGGCCACAGGCAGCCAGAAGACAAGUAUGCUGAAUGGCAGCCUGGGGAACCAGCAUAAUGGGGUGAAGAGGAUAAGAAAACUCUCAGAUGCUGCAGACCCAAAGAGAGGCACUCCCCAGACCUGCUUUCAUAUACAAGCUGCUGGAAGCCAGAAGAUUCCCACAAGAGGUCAAACCAAAAGCUCAUGAAGCCCUGCUCCUGACAGCGGCCCAUUCCCAGUUAUUAUAAUAAACCAUAGUUUAUGAUGCAUUUGGUCAGACACUGCAAUGAGUAGGAAAGGUUGGCUAAAGAGAUAUAUAUGGAGAGUAUUUUAAACCAUAGCUAUUUAAUACAGAGAGAAUUCUGCUGAACCUCAGCAUACAAGGAUAUGCUUUUCUGAUUAAACAGAAGCCACUUUAUUUCAUAAAUAUAAAUCAAGGGGGCCUUAUAUA
Alligator mississippiensis (American alligator) is the source of this 632-nucleotide long non-coding RNA. RefSeq lists it as uncharacterized. The record is from RefSeq and is a predicted model, not a curated record. NCBI's taxonomy places the organism in Eukaryota, Metazoa, Chordata, Crocodylia, Alligatoridae. The transcript is spliced from 3 exons.